GAAUAUAUAUAUAUCUGGUGCGAUUCCUCAUGUCUUGAUUGUACAACCCGUUUCUUUCCUUCUCGUCGAUUCUCCUACAUGCUGUUCCUUAUGUUAUUCGAGAUGGGUUGUUAGAUAUAAUACGCAUUGAUCUUGUGGUUUCCUACCGAUUGAUCCAGCUGCUCCUGUUCUCGCGCCGCCAAAAGCGCGCAACCCCCAAUUCCCAUUUCAGUGCCAUUCUACCUGCUUGCUUCCAUUGCAUUCUCUCCUCAGAAGGAAUCAUGGUGGUGCAGGAACGUCGGCGCCAUGAAGGGUCAAUCAAAUCCUUGUAAAACAAAGCAGGAAAAUGAGUGUUCACCCACCCACCACCUUGCAAUACCAGCUGCCAUCCACAUAUAAAGUAAAGGAAGAUUAUAACCCCUUUCACUUUUUAUUUCCUAAACUGUAGCAUUGACUGAAGGGUUGCUAGAUGAUUGUCAUGCAACCAUAGCUGCUCCAAUGUAUAGAUGUUGGACAUUGUCGAGACUGUCCUCGCGUGAUGAUAGAUUUGUAGAGCUAUCCAGGAUCUUUGGAUCGGGGGGAAGGCAUAAAAGGCAUACGUGCGUCGGGAUAUAUUGGGGUGAAUGCAUUUAUUCAUCCUUUUCCGCAGUAGGAACAUCGUGAAGA
This 645-nucleotide small RNA is filed under the name Histoplasma capsulatum. Its description in RNAcentral is "hypothetical RNA". RNAcentral also lists the same sequence under 1 other name. The record is from RNAcentral. Lineage: Eukaryota; Fungi; Ascomycota; Eurotiomycetes; Onygenales; Ajellomycetaceae.